AAGAUUUUAUGAUAAUUAAUCAUUUAACCUUCAAAGUUAAAAAUAUAAAAUAAUAGUUUUAUAAAUCUUA
Molecule: transfer RNA, 70 nt
Filed under: Dolichovespula saxonica
Lineage: Eukaryota; Metazoa; Arthropoda; Insecta; Hymenoptera; Vespidae
Description: tRNA-Trp
Source: RNAcentral